RNAcentral lists this ribosomal RNA (485 nucleotides) under Acanthosepion pharaonis. Its description in RNAcentral is "Sepia pharaonis partial 16S ribosomal RNA". Lineage: Eukaryota; Metazoa; Mollusca; Cephalopoda; Sepiida; Sepiidae. The record is from RNAcentral.
GAUUUACUUAAUAUAUAAUGUUAACGUAGUAAAGUUAUAUUUUUAAUAUUAAGUGGUAAUGAAAUGUUUUUCGUUUUUUAUGAUAGCUAGUUUAUAAGUGUAGAAUAUUUUAGUAUUGUAAUAUUAAUAUAAUUUAAUUAUUUUAAUAUUAUUUAUUUUAUAAGGGAUAAGCUUUAUAAAAAAAUAUAGAAUAUUAUAUAUUAUGUUGUGUUUUUAAGUAGAAUUAAAAUUGUUUUUCUUAUGAAUAUUAAUAUAAAUUACUAUUAUAUAAUUAUUCAGAUAAUAAGCUUAUAAAUAUUUAAUAAUUAUUAGUAAGUAAAUAUAAUGUUAAUAUGAGUAUUAAAAAGUAAUUAAAAUAUUAUGAUUUAUUUAAAUUGUAUAUAUUUAUAAUAUUAUUUUUAGUGAAAUAAGAUAAAGGAAUUUGGCAAAUAUAAAUCUCGCCUGUUUAUCAAAAACAUGUCUCUUUGUAUUUAUUAAAUAAAGAG